Molecule: long non-coding RNA, 696 nt
Filed under: Neodiprion lecontei (redheaded pine sawfly)
Lineage: Eukaryota; Metazoa; Arthropoda; Insecta; Hymenoptera; Diprionidae
Description: uncharacterized LOC124294178
Source: RNAcentral
GUUUUUCGAAUGAAAUUAUUAUACGUGCUGGAAAUUCGAUGCAAGAAAUUCGUUCCUUCUAAACGACGAAGCUCAGAGAUCUGAAAAGUAAAAUGAAAAUUUCGGCACUUCAUAGUUUAUCCGUACCUAAUAAUUGUCGGAAUUCUUUAUCAACUGGCAGCGCAACGACGCGGAUCGAGAACCUUGACUUUAUUCAUAAAAUAAACCGACCAAAAGAAUCUGCAGCCGAUGACUCAUUCUGGUUUAUUCGCCGUCGUAUACUUAUAAUACGUACAGAUAUUACAUUCAAGCAGAGAAAUUACCAUUUUUUAACCACAAGCUUGAAAUCCCGUCAUAAUUGGUAUGCUGAACAUCUUGUUGAAAGUCGAGUAGGGAAGAAGAAAGAUAAAGGUUGAUAAUCCGCCUCAAUCGUCGCGUAAUGAGGGACGGAAGAAGAAGAAGAAGAAGAAGAAAUUCCGAAUAAUAAGAUUUAUUUUUAUGAGAGAGAUACUUUUCUGAGGAUCUUGUCAAGUUGUAUGAUUGCUAUUGAAAUUAUAUCUUUUGUGGGUUUGGAAAAAAAAAAAAAAUACUAACGAUUUGCCGAAAUUCUACCCCUCCUGUUCCGUAACACAUACAGAUUUGAAAACAACAAUUCUGUCGUUUCCAUAGCUCGUUUGAGUGGAUACAAUCGGCUUAUACUGUAAAUGGAAGAGAGAA